UCUCCGUUGGUGAACCAGCGGAGGGAUCAUUACCGCGUUUUUCUACUCCCAAACUCCUGUGAACUUAUACCUUUACUGUUGCUUCGGCGGGUUAACGCCCCGGAAGGCCCAAAAAGCCGCCGGAACCAGGCGCCCGCCGGGGGACCCAAACUCUUGUAUUUCUUACUUUGCAUGUCUGAGUGGAAUCAUAAACAAAUGAAUCAAAACUUUCAACAACGGAUCUCUUGGUUCUG
This 233-nucleotide unclassified non-coding RNA is filed under the name plant metagenome. RNAcentral describes it as "partial contains small subunit ribosomal RNA, internal transcribed spacer 1, and 5.8S ribosomal RNA". The record is from RNAcentral.